AAAAUAGAUACCCCUGGUAGUCCACGCUGUAAACGAUGAUUACUGGUUGUUAGCGAUAUAUAGCUAGUGACUGAGCGAAAGCAUUAAGUAAUCCACCUGGGGAGUACGUCGGCAACGAUGAAACUCAAAGGAAUUGACGGGGGCCCGCACAAGCGGAGGAACAUGUGGUUUAAUUCGAUGAUACGCGAGGAACCUUACCUGGGUUUAAAUGGGGAGUGACAGGUGUCGAAAGAUGCUUUUUCCUUCGGGACACUCUUCAAGGUGCUGCAUGGUUGUCGUCAGCUCGUGCCGUGAGGUGUCGGGUUAAGUCCCAUAACGAGCGCAACCCUUGCCGAUAGUUGCCAUCACGUAAAGGUGGGCACUCUAUCGGGACUGCCGGUGUAAACCGUGAGGAAGGUGGGGAUGACGUCAAAUCAGCACGGCCCUUACAUCCAGGGCUACACACGUGUUACAAUGGCCAGUACAGAGGGCCGCUACCCCGCGAGGGGAUGCCAAUCUCGAAAGCUGGUCUCAGUUCGGAUUGAAGUCUGGAACCCGACUUC
RNAcentral lists this ribosomal RNA (542 nucleotides) under uncultured bacterium. RNAcentral's name for it is "bacterial SSU rRNA". It matches the Rfam family "Bacterial small subunit ribosomal RNA", at positions 776 to 1319 of the family's 1533-position model. The record is from RNAcentral.